GAAAAGAGUCAAGAGACACAGAAACUGCUAAUUAUCUGCCCCUGCGGUUAAAAUCCACAGUCUUCUCA
RNAcentral lists this transfer RNA (68 nucleotides) under Salamandra atra. RNAcentral's name for it is "tRNA-Ser". Lineage: Eukaryota; Metazoa; Chordata; Amphibia; Caudata; Salamandridae. The record is from RNAcentral.